RNAcentral lists this long non-coding RNA (1378 nucleotides) under Anolis carolinensis (green anole). Its description in RNAcentral is "lncRNA (ENSACAG00000036351.1)". The record is from RNAcentral. Lineage: Eukaryota; Metazoa; Chordata; Lepidosauria; Squamata; Anolidae.
UUCCAAUUUAAGUACUCACAGUAAUCUGAAGUACUGCAUUUUGAACACAGGUAGGUGAAUGAACAGUGAACUUGUAAAGCUCAGGAUAGUCCAUUUCAGGUGGAAUGCUUAUCUGAGAUUUCGGGCACUAAUUUCCAGCUUUGUUACCCUAUUAUUGCAAUUAUAUUAUGAGCAUAUUAUUGUUACUAUAGUUAAUUUAUUUAUAGGGUGCUUUCCCACAAACUACACUGAUUUUUUUUACAGUAUACUAGCUGUGCCCGGCCACGUGUUGCUGUGGCGUUGUCUGGUGGUAUUGGUGAGAAAUGGUUGAGGUAGCGGUGGUAUUGAAUGUCUGUUGUAUGGUUGUCUUUAUGUUUAGUAUGCAUUUGGUUGUUUGUGUACUGUGAAAGUGGUGAGGAUAGAGGGGGUCUAUGUUUAGUAUGCAUUUGGUUGUUUGUGUACUGUGAAAGUGGUGAGGAUAGAGGGGGUCUAUGUGUAGUAUUGUAUAGUAUUUAUACGUUGUCCAUGUGUUGUGAAUGCUUGGAUUGUGUCUUGCUGCAUAAUAGAAAGGGUUGGGCUGGAUGGCCCUUAGGGGUCUCUCCAAACUCUUGUGCCUGUCCCCUGGGCUGAGUAGGUUGCUAGGACACCAAGUGGGUGGAACUUAGCCUUGUAACUGGCAGCAAUUGGAUAAAAACAGUUAUUCCUCUCCCUCUAAUUAGGACUUUAUUUUUCUUUUCUUUUUGUUGUAUCAACCUAGAGCUGUGAAUGAUGGGUUGUGUUGUCAAAUUUUGAGGUUGGGGGGCCUGUAGCUUUGUUGUUUUGCCCGCUGCCCUGAUGCCAUCACUCUUUUAUAUAUAUAGAUAUGAAGUUGUGAAAUACAUGACAUGUGGAGGAGAAAUAAAGGAAAAGUAUUUUAAAGAACAUUGAUAUGUCCAAGAACAAUACAGCUUACAUAAGUUUUAUUUAUUUAUUUCCUAUAUUUUUGCCUUGCUCUUCUCAUCCCAAAGGGGACUCAGAGCAGCUUCCAAGUAGGCAACAUUCAAUGCCAUACAAACAACAAGAGAUAAUAAACACAAAUAUUAAAAUCAUUAAAAGUUAAAAAAUCAUAGCAUAUUAAUACAUUACAUUAAUACAUUAAAAUCAGCUAUUAAAACCACCCAAAUCCCAAGUCAUAGUCCAGGAGACAUUCCAACUGCUUGUUUCAUUGCUGCCUGUUGCACUGACUGUUCUCCAAAGGUUUGGUCCCAUAGUCAUGUUUUCAGUUUUUUUCUGAAGGUCAGGAGGGAGGGAGCUGAUCUAAUUUCACUGGGAAGUGAGUUCCACAGCUGCGGGGCUACAACUGAGAAAGCCCUGUCUCUCAUCCCCACCAAUUGCACCUGUGAAGUUGAGUGGGACCAAG